UCUCCGUUAAACCAGGCAAACUGGAAUUGUUUCUUGGAUUUGUCAACAAUGGGACAUCAGCAGCGCUGCUUUCCGCUGAUUUUCUGUGUUCGUCCGUCAUAGACCAUUUAACGGUGGCGGAGGGAGGAGGAGGAGGAGCGGGGGGAGAAAAUUGGCCUGCGUGAUUGAAAGAUCUGAAGCGUGGCUGCGCAAAAACAACCUUUAACUUUUGCUAAUUCGAACUGUGUUGACAGCUGCAGAGCGGCAACAGCGACAGCUAAGUUAAAGGAAUCUGCUUGAUUGACUUUUGAGUGUGUUUUACCUUUUAAACUGUGAAAUUGUGCAUGAGAAGGUUUUUCUUCCCCAUCUGUGAAUUCUACUGCUUAAUCUUUUUCUUGUCUUAGCUGAGAUGCACCGCUUUAUGUUUGCAUUAUCAUAGAUCCCGCUGUGAAACUUCAAUGUGUGAACACAAAACAUGAUUUCCAAGUCUAUUUAUUCCUGCAGGAUUAGUGGGAAGAACGCGAGGAAGCAGCUGCAGCGGAAUCGACCAUGAAUGUUGGGGGAGAGGAACGCAUUUCCUUAAGAGUUUGGAAGAGGUGCAGCUGGCACAGCCAGCCUUAGGCAUAAGCAAGCUGCCGUCCUACUCAGGACCACUCCGCAGCAGGGACGUUCCCAUGAGCCGCUCGACCUCUCACACAGACGUAGAUCUUCAAAAUGUGCCUAAAUGUUGAAAAAUCUGCUAAUUUUCAAAUUUGCUUUGAGGAUUUAAAAUAAAUUAAUACAAUUAAAAAAUAUAUAUAAAAGACAGAUUUGAAGCUAAAAUAGAUUUAGCUUCAACAUUUAAAGAAUUAUCAGUAUUUUUUUUAAAUCAUGCAUUUUACACUUAAAUGUAAUGUAACUAGUGCAAUAUAUAUUUUUGUAUUUACAGUUUAGUCAAAUUUUAUUCAAGUUAAUCAAUCAACAGAAAGAUCCUCCAUUCUCCACCCAACUUUAACUUCCCUUUUCCCUCCCUUUUCUCUGCUGUUAUCCAAUAAACAAUGUGAAUUGGGGCCCAAAGGCCCAGGGCCAUAUAAAGUAUUGGCUUGGCUCUGUAUACGUAGCGCUGAUAAAAGCUCACUGCAACAAGCACAGAGUGAGGGGGGCUUUCUAACCCGUCCUUCCUGUGAUCUUUUGAAGCCUCGUAAAUCCGCUUUUAUACCUCCGCAGUUUGUUAAUGAAAUGUACGUUUUAAGCACACAUGCACGGCUUAGCGCGACAAAAACCUUUUAGUAUAAUAAGCCAUCUUGCUCCUGAAUGAAACCGUUGGGAGGGACACAGAGGAGACGCAGCAGCAGCUGAGGUGAUGAAAACAGCGCAGGAAAAACUGCCACCAAGGUCGCUGGUAUAACAAAUAAUUGUGAUCAUAAUAAUGUGUUGCUCCGGUGAACUCUGAUGAAUAGAUUUUUUCCGCUCCCUUCAGGUCACACCCGUGGAGCUGCAGUCAGAGGUCAGGGUCACCUGCGGAAGCUGUUUAGGCUCAGUAAAGUUUAAAAAAAUUCUCUCGCCACCUGUUCAUCGUUGGACCACCAGACCAGGACAAAUCCUGACACCCCGGCAGCGCGAAGACCACUGGGAGGGGACAGACCUGCAUCAAACUUGGAGGAUUUUCAUCCGCUAAUGUCGCUGCUGCUGCUGCUGGGAAAAUGACACCUCCAGCUAAAUGCAGCGGGGGAUUACCAUGCCAAUGUAUACUCGUUAAAUACUUACGGUGUCACUCAGUUUGUAGCUCUUUGUCAUUCAGAGGGUGGCUGAAAGAUACGCAUCAGGAUGUUGCCUCGUUGCGUGAGCGCACGCAUGAGGCAGAUCAAGGCGAACAGUUGCGAAUUGGUCCCAUUUCUGGCCUUUUACGCGCAGUUAAAACACGCGCAGUAUGCGGGAAAAGGGGCAAACUCUGACUUAAUAACACACCCGAGACUGAUCGAACAGUGACAUAAUUUGCUCAUAUGGUUUAAUUAUAAAACAAGAGUAAAAUUGUUACAUGAAAUCAUAAUAAAUGUGUA
This is a long non-coding RNA of Poeciliopsis prolifica (blackstripe livebearer), 2018 nucleotides long. RefSeq lists it as uncharacterized. Lineage: Eukaryota; Metazoa; Chordata; Actinopteri; Cyprinodontiformes; Poeciliidae. The transcript is spliced from 3 exons. The record is from RefSeq and is a predicted model, not a curated record.